GACGUAGGAUGCAAGCGUUGUCCGGAAUUAUUGGGCGUAAAGAGUUCGUAGGCGGUUAUCUAAGUCUGGUGUUAAAGCCCGAAGCUCAACUUCGGCAUGGCAUUGGAAACUGGGUAGCUAGAGUGUGGUAGAGGUAUCGGGAAUUCCUGGUGUAGCGGUGAAAUGCGUAGAUAUCAGGAGGAACACCGGCGGCGAAAGCGCGAUACUGGGCCAUAACUGACGCUGAGGAACGAAAGCCAGGGGAGCGAAAGGGAUUAGAUACCCCUGUAGUCCUGGCCGUAAACGAUGGAUACUAGGUGUUGGAGGAUUCGACCCCUUCAGUGCCGUAGCUAACGCGAUAAGUAUCCCGCCUGGGGAGUACGACCGCAAGGUUGAA
Molecule: ribosomal RNA, 376 nt
Filed under: uncultured bacterium
Lineage: Bacteria
Description: bacterial SSU rRNA
Rfam family: Bacterial small subunit ribosomal RNA
Source: RNAcentral